AAGCAGCUUUGUCCUGGACUUCAGCGAGCUUUGUAUUAAUACGGUAGGUAGUGUGGGUGUGAAAUCACACUGCUGCUGGAAUCGAGGUUGCUGAGCUGGAAGUGGGGCGAGGACGCGUUAG
This is a microRNA precursor of Equus caballus (horse), 121 nucleotides long. NCBI's taxonomy places the organism in Eukaryota, Metazoa, Chordata, Mammalia, Perissodactyla, Equidae. The record is from Ensembl.